GUUACGGCGGCCAUAGCGAGGCGGGAAACGCCCGGCACCAUUCCGAACCCGGAAGCUAAGCCCCUCAGCGCCGAUGGUACUGCCCUGGAGACGGGGUGGGAGAGUAGGACACCGCCGAACAC
RNAcentral lists this ribosomal RNA (122 nucleotides) under Serinibacter arcticus. Lineage: Bacteria; Bacillati; Actinomycetota; Actinomycetes; Micrococcales; Beutenbergiaceae. The record is from RNAcentral.